GACGAACGCUGGCGGCGUGCCUAAUACAUGCAAGUCGAGCGCUAAAGGCCUGUACUUGUGCCAACUUGGUGAGCAGCACACGUGUGAGUCACGCGUGUGGCCUCUCCCUUUCAUCGGGGUACAACCUUUGGAAACGAAUUCUAAUACCGCAUAAAAACUUUAAACAUAAUGUGUAUGUUUGAAUGACGCCAGUUCAUCACUCAAAGAUGAUCCCUCGUUGUAUUAGCUAGGUGGUGAGGUAAAGGCGCACCAAGGCGUUGUUAAAUAGCCGACCUGAGAGGGUGGUCGGCCAGACUGGGACGGAGACCCGGCCCAAAGUGAUACAGGGGGCAGCAGUAGGGCAUCUUCGGCAAUGGACGAAAGUCAGAGCGAGAAACGCCGAGGGAGUGAAGAAGAAUGUCGGAUCGUAAAAGACUGUUGGUGGGGAAGAAAGUGGGUGAGAGUGGAAAGCUGAUUAAGUGACGGUAACUAGCAAGAAAGGGACGGCUAACUACGUG
This 497-nucleotide ribosomal RNA is filed under the name uncultured bacterium. RNAcentral describes it as "partial 16S ribosomal RNA". It matches the Rfam family "Bacterial small subunit ribosomal RNA", at positions 28 to 507 of the family's 1533-position model. The record is from RNAcentral.